This 220-nucleotide unclassified non-coding RNA is filed under the name Hevea brasiliensis (rubber tree). Lineage: Eukaryota; Viridiplantae; Streptophyta; Magnoliopsida; Malpighiales; Euphorbiaceae. The record is from RNAcentral.
CAACUUCUUUAGACUCCUCUUGAGCAUCCAUGUCUUUGAGAUUGCCAAAAUUUACCCUACUCAGAGAAUCAGAAAAAUCUACAUAAAGUGAUAUAUUGCCUCCACAAAUCUCUAGCUUCCUACCAGACACAACUCUAUCAAAUCCUAGCAGCUCAUCCUCCUUCAACUGCUCAUCUUUCACAGUCUUUUCAACUUCAACUUCCUCACGCACAGAACUACC